This is a long non-coding RNA of Callithrix jacchus (white-tufted-ear marmoset), 1819 nucleotides long. Lineage: Eukaryota; Metazoa; Chordata; Mammalia; Primates; Cebidae. The record is from Ensembl.
GGGCAGUUGCCAUGGGAGGCCCACCGCGUCCUGAAAGGAAGAUGCUCAAUUUUUCGGAGCAUCGGAAGAGGAUACCUGGAUUCGGAGUGGCGUGGCCUCCACGGUGCACCCCGUGCUGGUGGACAGGUCAGGACGGGGAAGUUGCCUUGAGAUGCCCACCAUGUGCUGCCGCAACACAUGGUUGAUUCUUCCAAGCAGUGGAGUCCCUAUGGAGUCGUGGAGUCAGUGUGGCCUGGCAUCCAUGGUGCACCUCAUGCUGGCAGGUGGCUCAGCAUGGUAAGCAUUCCUCCCCUGAGUGCUGAGUGAGGGUAUCUUGUCGAUUUCCAAGGCAGGCAUUGCCCAGCCUGUGGUGUCAAACAUCCUGUGUUUUCAAAUGUGCUUGGAUCGAUGAUGAGUCCUACAAAAAAACAUUCCUUGGAAAAGCUGAACAAAAUGAGUGAAAACUCAUACCGUCGCUCUCAUCGGAACUGAGGUCCAGCACAUUGAAUGGAAUUGAAGUGAUCAGCAGACCUUCAAUUUAAUUGGGCCUGUUUCUCAAGUGUGCAUUUGAUUUAUUCACACUUCUCAGGAUCAGUUAAUCAUGAAAGCUCUGCUGCUUGCUGGCAAGGAAGAUGAUCUAGUCUUCUGACCUAUAGAGGCUGCAUUGAGUCCUUGAUUCAGUGUGGCGUGCUGUCUGCAGUGCACCCCGUGCUGGUGGGUGGCUCAGGACGGGGCAGUUAUCAUGGGACAUCUGCCACAUGCUGGCAAGGAAGAUGGUCAGUUCUUCUGGACACAAAGGCCCCCAGAGUCCUGGAGUCAUUAUGGCCUGGCAUCCAUGGUGCACCCCCUGCUGGUGGAUGGCUCAGGACGGGGCAGUUGCCUUGAGAGGCCCACCACGUGCUGCCACAACAGGUGGUCAAUUCUUCCGAGCAAUGGAGUCCCUAUGGAGCCAUGGAGCCAGUGUGGCCUGGCAUCCGUGGUGCACCUUGUGCUGGCGGGUGGCUCAGGACGUUAUGAUGGGACGUCCCCCAUAACCUGGCAAGGAAGAUGGUCGGCUCUUCUGAGGCACAAAGGCCUCGAGUCCUGGUGUUGGUAUGGCCUGGCCUCCACGGUGCACCCCUGCUGGUGGAUGGCUCAGGACGGGGCAGUUGCCUUGAGAGGCCCGCUGCAUGCUGCCACAACAGAUGGUCGAUUCUUACAAGCAACGGAGUCCCCAUGGAGUCGUGGAGUCAGUGUGGCCUGGCAUCCAUCGUGCACCUUGUGGUGGCAGGUGGCUCAGGGCGGGGCAGUUAUCAUGGGACAUCCGCCAUACGCUGGCAAGGAAGAUGGUCAGUUCUUCUGGUCCACAAAGGCCCCCGGAGUCCUGGAAUGGUUGAUUCUUCCACGCAACGGAGUCCCCAUGGAGCCGUGGAGUCAGUGUGCCCUGGCAUACAUGGUGCACCGCAUGCUAGCAGGUGGCUCAGGACGUUAUGAUGGGACGUCCCCCAUAACCUGGCAAGGAAGAUGGUCGGCUCUUCUGAGGCACAAAGGCCUCGAGUCCUGGUGUUGGUAUGGCCUGGCCUCCACGGUGCACCCCUGCUGGUGGAUGGCUCAGGACGGGGCAGUUGCCUUGAGAGGCCCGCUGCAUGCUGCCACAACAGAUGUUCGAUUCUUACAAGCAACGGAGUCCCCAUGGAGUCGUGGAGUCAGUGUGGCCUGGCAUCCAUCGUGCACCUUGUGGUGGCAGGUGGCUCAGGGCGGUGAGCCUCAGCUGGGAGUGUGGCCGGAGAUUGGGUCUGGUCACGAUGUCAGAUGCCCCAUGGGAAGUGUGUGUGCUCAGACCAAGGGUGGAAGCUGUUAG